CAGAGAUUUUCUUUUGCCUCUCUUUGGCAACGGAUUUCGCACCGUCCGUCAGCGACGAACCGAGCCCUCGAAGCUGUUUGUUCGAGGGCAUCUUGCCGUUCGAAAUAGCUGUCCAUAUUGAAUAAACUUCUAAUCCUUUUCCAGUUUCCUCAUGCACAACAUGCUUGUCAGUGGGAUAAGCAACCGCCAUACUUGCUCAACGACUAAUGCGAAAAAGAUUAGCAGCAAUUAAUCACUUAAUGAUAGUAACAAGCGAGACACGUCAGCUAAUAUCAGAUGGUUACAAGUGUAAAAGUGAUAAAUAAACAAGACUGAAGAUAUCCUUUCCUCUUCAGCACUCCAAAAUCAGGAUUUUACAGUAAAAACCUCUUGUUAUGGGAUAGACAGACACACAAGUGCGAUCAAUCAAACAAAUAAUCAAAUGUCGCUUUGAUGGAAUCCUCCUUAAGUAAAGAGAUAUAUGGUUUCGCUUUAUUUUCCUAAAAUUCCUUGUCGCAACUUUAUUUCAAUUCUGUACAAAGAUUAUAACUUUAUAGGACCAUGGCGACAUUAAAUACAUUUAUUUAAAGCCUUUACGUUAUGACUAUCUCAGCCAUACUCGAAUUAGGCUGUGGCGUCAUGAAAACUUGCAUAAUCAUCUUUACUUACGAAGUAUUAGUGUCAAUCCACUCUCCUGUUCAUAAAAGAAUGGCUCAUAUGAGAAUGGCUACUCUAGUAAUGACAGGUUCAAGAAUACGUGCAUUCUCGUCAUUAAGACACUAUAUUGACGUUCAACCGUUUCAUGUCCAAAACUAUAGUGUAGUUUGAAGAAGUAAACUACGUCAUGCGCUAAAUAUGUGAUGUGGUUAUAUAUUGCAGUAAGUAUCGCUAUUUACUGGCUUGCUACAUAUUGUUCUUCAUUAUUCGGUAAACAGUGGAAGAAGAAGGGCUGGGCUGGCUUACUUGUUCUUGUUAGUUGAUCGAUUGGUCGCAAUGUUCAAUCGAUAUAUGGAAGGCGUUUCUUUCACUUCUUUUUCUCUUUUUUGGCUUUCUUAUUGUUCGGAGAAUUUCCGUAUCUUAGAGUGUUUCAGUAUAAUCAAUCAUCUAUCUAAUCUGGUGUGUGCUGCUUUAGCUUCAGCUUAUAGGCAUCAGCAAAAAACAACAUCACCUUCAAAGUAGGCGCCCGAAAUCAUUGUUCAUAUUUUUGUCCUAUACUUUUGUACUAACUGAUAAAAAUUAUUUUAUAGAUAUUAAAAGCAAAUCUUAUAUAUUUGUCACCUCCAAACAAUUUUUUUAUUGAUAUUCUCCAUUCAUGAAACAUAAAUUCAUUCUUAUAAUAAAACAAAAUAAAUUUUAAGAAAAUGAAAAAAAUAUAUAUUACGAGCUUAGUCUAAAUACAUUCUAAUAUACAUCUUUAAAAUAAAUUUUCUAAUAUUAUAUCUUAA
Schizosaccharomyces pombe (fission yeast) is the source of this 1424-nucleotide non-coding RNA. Lineage: Eukaryota; Fungi; Ascomycota; Schizosaccharomycetes; Schizosaccharomycetales; Schizosaccharomycetaceae. The record is from the annotation of a GenBank genome assembly.